Mauremys reevesii (Reeves's turtle) is the source of this 554-nucleotide long non-coding RNA. RefSeq lists it as uncharacterized. NCBI's taxonomy places the organism in Eukaryota, Metazoa, Chordata, Testudines, Geoemydidae. The record is from RefSeq and is a predicted model, not a curated record. The transcript has 3 exons.
GAGUUCCACUGAAGGCAGUGGAGUUACACAGAUUUACAGCACCUGAUGCUGAUGUGGUCCAGUGUCACUUGGAGACAGGCUCAAACCAGAAAAUGUGGAUCCAGGUUUCAGACACCAGCAAAUUAUGAUACUACUUAGUCCUGCCAUGAGUGCAGGGGACUGGACUAGAUGACCCUCAUGGUCCCUUCCAGUCCUAUAAUUCUAUGAUUCUAUUCCACAAGGAGCUGAAACACCAGAUUUAUCAUAAUUAUACUCCAGACUGGCUUUGAGAAAACCAGCCAUAUUACAGCCACUUUGCAUCAAUCUUCACAGUCCCACGGCCAUCAUUUCCAGCAUGAUUGCUAAACAUACUGCAUCCCAGGGGCAUUCCUGUGGCUCCCAUAGAUUUCAUUAUGAGUGGCACGGGAACAUCUGAGGGCAGCUGAGUACAGAACAAAGCGAAAGCACCAGAAAUGCUGGCUAGAGAACAAGCAAGUACAGUUGUAAAAAAAGGUUUUGAAAUAAAAUAUUACAAUGAGAUUUUUAACUGAAAUAUCAACCAGAACAACUACAAA